GAUGAAGAACGCAGCGAAAUGCGAUAAGUAGUGUGAAUUGCAGAAUUCAGUGAAUCAUCGAAUCUUUGAACGCACAUUGCGCCCCUCGGUAUUCCGUGGGGCAUGCCUGUUCGAGCGUCAUUACAACCCUCAGGCCCCCGGGCCUGGCGUUGGGGAUCGGCGGAAGCCCCCUGCGGGCACAACGCCGUCCCCCAAAUACAGUGGCGGUCCCGCCGCAGCUUCCAUUGCGUAGUAGCUAACACCUCGCAACUGGAGAGCGGCGCGGCCACGCCGUAAAACACCCAACUUCUGAAUGUUGACCUCGAAUCAGGUAGGAAUACCCGCUGAACUUAAGCAUAUCAAUAAGCGGAGGA
RNAcentral lists this unclassified non-coding RNA (353 nucleotides) under soil metagenome. RNAcentral's name for it is "partial contains 5.8S ribosomal RNA, internal transcribed spacer 2, and large subunit ribosomal RNA". The stretch from base 1 to 120 matches the Rfam family "5.8S ribosomal RNA", at positions 35 to 154 of the family's 154-position model. The record is from RNAcentral.